This 583-nucleotide ribosomal RNA is filed under the name uncultured bacterium. Its description in RNAcentral is "bacterial SSU rRNA". It matches the Rfam family "Bacterial small subunit ribosomal RNA", at positions 102 to 681 of the family's 1533-position model. The record is from RNAcentral.
ACGGGUGAGUAAUAUAUCGGAACGUGCCCUAGAGUGGGGGAUAACUAGUCGAAAGACUAGCUAAUACCGCAUACGAUCUACGGAUGAAAGUGGGGGAUCGCAAGACCUCAUGCUCCUGGAGCGGCCGAUAUCUGAUUAGCUAGUUGGUGGGGUAAAAGCCUACCAAGGCAACGAUCAGUAGCUGGUCUGAGAGGACGACCAGCCACACUGGGACUGAGACACGGCCCAGACUCCUACGGGAGGCAGCAGUGGGGAAUUUUGGACAAUGGGGGCAACCCUGAUCCAGCAAUGCCGCGUGAGUGAAGAAGGCCUUCGGGUUGUAAAGCUCUUUUGUCAGGGAAGAAACGGUAGUAGCGAAUAACUACUACUAAUGACGGUACCUGAAGAAUAAGCACCGGCUAACUACGUGCCAGCAGCCGCGGUAAUACGUAGGGUGCAAGCGUUAAUCGGAAUUACUGGGCGUAAAGCGUGCGCAGGCGGUUGUGUAAGUCAGAUGUGAAAUCCCCGGGCUCAACCUGGGAAUUGCAUUUGAGACUGCACGGCUAGAGUGUGUCAGAGGGGGGUAGAAUUCCACGUGUAGCAG